CGAGCAUGAACUAAUGGAGGAGGAGAAAGUCACACCAUCACUCAUUUUCCAACAGCUUUACGUCACCGCAGGCUGAGGACACAGAGAACAAGAUGAAGAGCAACUGUAAGACAGAUGGUGACUUGAUCUACAGCGUAUCAUCAGCUAAGAGGCAGGUCAGGCUGAAGCGAUGAUACUUACUGGCGAAUAUCCAGAGACUCAUAACAGGAUGUUUAUCUGCAUCACUGACUCCCCACAUCAGCCGAGUGCUCUCACACAAAG
Long non-coding RNA from Poecilia reticulata (guppy), 261 nucleotides. RefSeq lists it as uncharacterized. Lineage: Eukaryota; Metazoa; Chordata; Actinopteri; Cyprinodontiformes; Poeciliidae. The record is from RefSeq and is a predicted model, not a curated record.